RNAcentral lists this long non-coding RNA (693 nucleotides) under Anas platyrhynchos platyrhynchos (common mallard). RNAcentral describes it as "lncRNA (ENSAPLG00000027374.1)". The record is from RNAcentral. Lineage: Eukaryota; Metazoa; Chordata; Aves; Anseriformes; Anatidae.
UAUUUAUUUAUUUAUUUAUUUAUGAAAAGAGAGCAGCCACCCCUUGGUGGGGAUUUUGGCAAUCAGGUUGAGCAGGUGCACUGAGUUGCAUGGUUUGGUGAUUGCAAAAAGGCUGCAGCUGGAUGUCGCUGGCUUAGGGCUGCCUCUGUGGGGUCAUUGUAUUGCUGUGGUGCUGGGACACAGGAGGUAAGGUGUGAUAGUGGCUCAUGAGGAGUGGUAAUAUAUGUACCUGAGCUUUCUCCUUGAGCUGAUCAGCCUCUUUGGUUCUUGUUUUCUUCUUUGUAACAGCGGAACUUGACCUUGGCCUCGUGGGCUGCAAGAUUUAAAGCGUGGUGGCUGUAUGCCAGCAGGGAUGAAAGCAAGACCUCACAUUGGAGGGGUCACCUGGAGGAGGGGGCUCUGGACCGCUGGCUCAUAUCUGCCCUGGGACUGGCUCUGCUUCGUACCGGACCACGUCCACCUGCCUGUGAGAACAGAGAUAGCCAUGAAUGACUUAAUUCUGAUCUUCCAUCCAGCUGAAGUCAGCAGAGUAAAGACGAUGUAAACAGGGUCAGAGUCAGUCUCUCAGUCACGAUAAAUUUCCGUAUGCUGGUGGCAGUAUGUUCAGAAUGCUUUGAAGUGCUGGUUUGUCAGAGUUCACAACAGUUCAUUUCAGCUCCAAAUAAAAUAUUAUCUGACUUUGCUGGCUUUCCA